UUAGCGGCGGACGGGUGAGUAACACGUGAGUAACCUGCCUUAGACAUAGGGAUAGCCUCGGGAAACCGGGAUUAAUACCAAAUGAAAUCACAUAUGCACAUGCAUAAAUGAUCAAAGCUCCGGCGGUCUAAGAUGGACUCGCGUCCCAUUAGCUAGUUGGUGAGGUAACGGCCCACCAAGGCGACGAUGGGUAGCCGGCCUGAGAGGGUUAACGGCCACAUUGGAACUGAGAAACGGUCCAAACUCCUACGGGAGGCAGCCAGCU
This 265-nucleotide ribosomal RNA is filed under the name uncultured Peptoniphilus sp. RNAcentral's name for it is "partial 16S ribosomal RNA". It matches the Rfam family "Bacterial small subunit ribosomal RNA", at positions 92 to 352 of the family's 1533-position model. Lineage: Bacteria; Bacillati; Bacillota; Tissierellia; Tissierellales; Peptoniphilaceae. The record is from RNAcentral.